This 70-nucleotide transfer RNA is filed under the name Dipodomys ordii (Ord's kangaroo rat). It matches the Rfam family "tRNA". From Rfam's summary of the family: Transfer RNA (tRNA) molecules are approximately 80 nucleotides in length. Their secondary structure includes four short double-helical elements and three loops (D, anti-codon, and T loops). The record is from Rfam by way of RNAcentral. Lineage: Eukaryota; Metazoa; Chordata; Mammalia; Rodentia; Heteromyidae.
GGGAAUGUGGUUCAGUGGUAGAGUGCUUGCUUAGCAUGCAUGAAGCCCUGAGUUCAAUUCCUCAGUACCA